This 374-nucleotide long non-coding RNA is filed under the name Cyanoderma ruficeps (rufous-capped babbler). RNAcentral's name for it is "lncRNA (ENSCRFG00000015213.1)". Lineage: Eukaryota; Metazoa; Chordata; Aves; Passeriformes; Timaliidae. The record is from RNAcentral.
AGGCAGACCAUGAGAUGGAGCUGAGUGAGCCUCUCUGGAAGGAUGAUAGCGAAGACUACCACGAGGCAGAGGAGCCAUGUGAAAGCGACAGUGUUCUCCAGUUCCUCUUGAAGGUAACCCAGAUGUUGGAAUCUUUCUGCAUUAGCAGCACAGAGUCAUCACAGACUCCGUGGGAUUAUUGUGGCUCGGGGAAGCAGAGGGAUGGGGAAGGAGAGAGGUGCCAGGAAAAGACCACAGGAACAGCAGUCUCGGGAACAGAGCAAAGUCAGCCACACACCCUGGCAAAAGAUGAGGAAGAACACUUCCUGGGAAGAGAGGAUGAGACUCAAGAGACACCUGGAGAACCACCUGUGGAUGAGCUGCAUCCACCAGAG